Molecule: ribosomal RNA, 430 nt
Filed under: Pseudomonadota bacterium
Lineage: Bacteria; Pseudomonadati; Pseudomonadota
Description: Proteobacteria bacterium partial 16S ribosomal RNA
Rfam family: Bacterial small subunit ribosomal RNA
Source: RNAcentral
UGGGGAAUAUUGGACAAUGGGGGGAACCCUGAUCCAGCCAUGCCGCGUGUGUGAAGAAGGCCUUAUGGUUGUAAAGCACUUUAAGCGAGGAGGAGGGUACUGGUAUUAAUACUACCAGGUACUGGACGUUACUCGCAGAAUAAGCACCGGCUAACUCUGUGCCAGCAGCCGCGGUAAUACAGAGGGUGCAAGCGUUAAUCGGAAUUACUGGGCGUAAAGCGCGCGUAGGUGGUUCGUUAAGUUGAAUGUGAAAGCCCCGGGCUCAACCUGGGAACUGCAUCCAAAACUGACGAGCUAGAGUAGGGCAGAGGGUGGUGGAAUUUCCUGUGUAGCGGUGAAAUGCGUAGAUAUAGGAAGGAACACCAGUGGCGAAGGCGACCACCUGGGCUCAUACUGACACUGAGGUGCGAAAGCGUGGGGAGCAAACAGG